CGUUUUCAGAAUCCAGGGGAAUGAGGAAGAGAAGAAACUGCAAUAUAAUUCAGAGGCUAAAGACCUGAAAAGUGGGGUACAAUGAAGAGGGGAACUGAACUCCGUACUUGAGGAGGCAGAAACAAUUCCAUUUUCAUUUACUUGUCCAUCACAAGUUUUGAUUUACCAUCACUAGUGACAUCCUUGACAUUGCCAGCAUGAUGUUGUGCUGCCGAGCUGUUAACCUUGGGAAAGUUCUGAACAAUGACAGCAAAGGGGUGUCUUGGGUGUUGAUUCAUUAUCUUUGCACUUUGUU
Carica papaya (papaya) is the source of this 295-nucleotide non-coding RNA. NCBI's taxonomy places the organism in Eukaryota, Viridiplantae, Streptophyta, Magnoliopsida, Brassicales, Caricaceae. The record is from RefSeq and is a predicted model, not a curated record.